This is a long non-coding RNA of Bufo bufo (common toad), 1452 nucleotides long. RefSeq lists it as uncharacterized. The record is from RefSeq and is a predicted model, not a curated record. The transcript has 2 exons. Lineage: Eukaryota; Metazoa; Chordata; Amphibia; Anura; Bufonidae.
CUCUAGCCCCCAGCCUACAAAAUAAAUCACAGGUAAUUCAUUAAAAUGUGCCUUAAAUGUACAAGGCUUUUCUUCAGUACGAAUAUGGGCCCAUCAGAUGAGUUUGUUACAUUACAAGCCAGUAGUUCUUACAGUGUUCAUUACUUCUGCAAAUGUUAUAGCCGCCCCUCUGGAGCAUUUUCCCUGUGAAGCCGAGGUAGGUCCAUCUUGUAUAACAGGCAGAGAUGAUGUAUGGGAUCAAGUAGAUGAGCUGCAGGGGAAUGGCUGGGUUCUAUGCUGACCUUUGCUGCAUAUAGAUUUUACCAUACACAGACCUUAUAAUUCCAUGCCUUAACUUUACAGAUAUAUUGUCGGGUCCUUCAUCAAAUGCUCAAAAGCAGACUUUGUAACCCAUUAUUCCAGAAUACCAGCAGUUGUAGAUACCCAUCCUCUGCACCUUAUUUAUUCCAUGAAACCUUGUAUUUUAAGUACUUUUGGAUGAAGAGUUAAUACUCUUCAAUAGGAUAUUCUUGAGGCAGUUUGCUAUUGAGUAACUCGAUUCAGGAGACUUUUGAGGUCACAACAGUAAUGUAGAUAGUGCGUAAGUGGCUCGUCUGCAGUGUGGUGGACAUCGUUGGUUAGAGGUUGGUCACUUUAGGAAAAUGUUAACUAAUGCACCGUUUUCGUUCGUUGAGUACCUACACCCUUGUUAUGACUGGCAUAUCUUCUGGCCCUAAUCUGAUGGAGGAGCAUGACCAGCGACGCCAUUUUGCCUCCUGUGUAUUAACACACUGCAUCACCAAAACUAGUGCAGGCACAGUGUGUACAACAGAGGGAUCUAGAUAUCACGUAUCUGCAGCCAUAAUAUGGAUUGGGGCAGUGUGUAGUCGGAAUAUAGCACUAAAACUAUGCAGAACUGAUAGUAAAUUUUGGAUUUUUUUUUUUCUACAUUCACAUGGUUUGGUGGUCUACAUAGAUUUUGCACAUCUUUACAAAAAGAAUAUCCAUCAUUGACAAAGGUGUGGCUUUAUUUUUCUACUUCUCCCUGAUGGGAUGUACAGAUCAUACCUAAACCAGGAGAAAUGUUGAAGUGAAUGCUGCUUUUACAGACGUAGAAAUCACAUUUACUAGUAUUGUAGCCAAUGAGCUGUACCAAUGUCUACCACAUAAGUCACCUUAAAGAAAGGUGAUCCCAGAUAGGAAUAGGCAGGAUCAUUGUAGGCGGCAUUGGGAAUUUAUUGGUGCUGUCAUCACAGGUUGUUUUUUUUUUUUUGUGCUAUCUCUAUGGUCUGUUGAGGUUCCAUCAUAAAUUGGUAACUUGUCCUCCUGUGUGCAUUGUGUUUAAAAAGUACAUUCAGAUUUAUUUUUUUGCCUUUUCGAAAUGAGUGUUUAAUAAAACAAUAUUGUCAGUGAUUGUAAAUAAUUUUAAAUAUGCAUUAACCUUUGAAAUAAAAUAUACACCUGAAAUGUGCA